Molecule: transfer RNA, 774 nt
Filed under: uncultured cyanobacterium
Lineage: Bacteria; Bacillati; Cyanobacteriota
Description: partial 16S-23S ribosomal RNA intergenic spacer
Rfam family: tRNA (bases 268-340)
Source: RNAcentral
CAGGGAGACAACACAAUGAUUUUGAUGCCUGAGUGCUUUUAUUCUUAGGCCGAAAUCCUGUCACCUUAGGUCGAUCGGUACCUCAGCUUUGAAGUCAAGGAUCAGCAGCAAUGUUGAUUGCUUGAUGGAGAUUUUCAGUUCCUAAACUUUGUCUAGGUCACACCCCAAAAGGGAUGAGACUCCUGGGCCAUUAGCUCAGGUGGUUAGAGCGCACCCCUGAUAAGGGUGAGGUCCCUGGUUCAAGUCCAGGAUGGCCCAUUCGGUGUUGGGGGUUUAGCUCAGUUGGUAGAGCGCCUGCUUUGCAAGCAGGAUGUCAGGAGUUCGAGUCUCCUAACCUCCACUGACCGAACUUGAUUCCCAUCUCCAAUUUUUUGGAGUUGAGCUCGAUUGGAGUGUGAUUUAGAUGUGUCCGCUGGAUGACCCCAGCUUCCUGUCAUUCUAAGUUUUAGGUUGAUGCCUUGAAUUUGGUUGAUAAGAUGCUGGGCUCGGAUCAAAUGAUCAAGCAAUUGAUGAUUUGAUUUGAAGUUCUAGCAGAACCUUGACAACUGCAUAGGUGAGUCUGGAAAAAACAAAGCAUCUCAUGGAUGCAUUGUUUUGAGUUCAUGUUCUUGUAAAAGGACUUGAAUCCAGAGCAAUGAAUAAUUCUUUUGAGUAAGAGCCGAGGCUUUUAAAUGUUCUCUUGUUCGUGUUUAUCGAAUCAGAGUUUGAUCUUGUUUUUACAUUAAAAACUUGAGAACCUGCUUUCAACGGUAGUAAGCAUUUAAAGGAUCAAUU